Dermacentor albipictus is the source of this 337-nucleotide long non-coding RNA. RefSeq lists it as uncharacterized. NCBI's taxonomy places the organism in Eukaryota, Metazoa, Arthropoda, Arachnida, Ixodida, Ixodidae. The record is from RefSeq and is a predicted model, not a curated record.
UCAACUUUUCCUUAUGUGGCAGAGAAUCAGCAGUGGACACAAACCCCCGCACAUGCCGGUGAAUCUCGACUACUGCCUUGAAAACAGCAGCUUUUUUAACCACAAGAAGAAUGGCACUCUUCUCUCAAUGCAACACAGGUCACAGGAUAGCACAGUUUUCUUCCAGAUUUCACCUUUCUGGAGCUGCCUGUUCAGUACCGUGGCUACAGUUGCCCUAGGAAUCUUGAUAAGCUGCGCAGCAGGUGAGAACCGACAGCGUCGAGCAGAUUCGACUCUUUUAAACAGCUGGUUUGUAAAAAUGUGGAAGAAACUAGGAAUUAUGGAGCGCGACGAACAG